UAUAUAUAUAUAUAUAUAUAGAGUUGAGCUAGAAUACUAUCGGUAGUAAACGAGCCAUUUUACUACCGAUUUGUUUUCGAUGAUAGAGCUUCCAAAUUGACGAUCGGCUCCGUUAAAUAUGAUCUAAAUCAUUUAAACUACCUAGAAAUCAAAUAUCACGCACUUUCGAUAUUGUUCUUUUAUCCAUCAAGUGAACAGAAAAAUGAAUGGCUAAAAAUGAAUACUCUUUAAAAAAUAAUGAUAGGAGUCUUGUAAUCAAGAUCAAGAGUAUAGAUCUUGUUUUAAAUAGUUUAAAGAAUUUUCUAACAAAAAUUCAAUUGAUUUGGAUAUCUUUACGUCGUUAAAUGAGAAAACGCCUCUUAUCGAUCUUUAAAAUUAUAAAUUUUGAAACCCUUUGAUCAUUAGGCAAAUGAUGUCGAAAAGAUUUGAAAUUUGAUUUCUAAACACUUCAAGUGGUAUAGAUCAUAUUCAACGGAGCCGAUCGUCAAUUUGGAAGCUUUAUUAUCGAAAACAAAUCGGUAGUAUAAUGAC
This 531-nucleotide long non-coding RNA is filed under the name Ananas comosus (pineapple). RNAcentral's name for it is "long non-coding RNA (ACOM_LNC017222)". The record is from RNAcentral. Lineage: Eukaryota; Viridiplantae; Streptophyta; Magnoliopsida; Poales; Bromeliaceae.